GAGCGGCGGACGGGUGAGUAACACGUAGGCAACCUACCCUUGAGAUUGGGAUAACUACCGGAAACGGUAGCUAAUACCGGAUACGACUUUCCUGCAUAAGCAGUUAGGUUAAAAGGCGGAUUUAUCUGCCGCUCAUGGAUGGGCCUGCGGUGCAUUAGCUAGUUGGUGAGAUAGUGGCUCACCAAGGCGACGAUGCAUAGCCGACCUGAGAGGGUGAUCGGCCACACUGGGACUGAGACACGGCCCAGACUCCUACGGGAGGCAGCAGUAGGGAAUCUUCCGCAAUGGACGCAAGUCUGACGGAGCAACGCCGCGUGAGUGAUGAAGGGUUUCGGCUCGUAAAACUCUGUUGUUAAGGAAGAACACUUGAGGUAGUAACUGGCCUUGAGAUGACGGUACUUAACCAGAAAGCCACGGCUAACUACGUGCCAGCAGCCGCGGUAAUACGUAGGUGGCAAGCGUUAUCCGGAAUUAUUGGGCGUAAAGCGCGCGUAGGCGGUAAAAUAAGUCUGAUGUGAAAGCCC
Molecule: ribosomal RNA, 524 nt
Filed under: bacterium 20BK
Lineage: Bacteria
Description: bacterial SSU rRNA
Rfam family: Bacterial small subunit ribosomal RNA
Source: RNAcentral